GGUUAUUUUUUUGGAAAAAGAUUUGUUUUGAAAACAAAUUUCAAGUGUUCGACUCACUUAAUAACUU
RNAcentral lists this transfer RNA (67 nucleotides) under Cocculina subcompressa. Its description in RNAcentral is "tRNA-Ser". It matches the Rfam family "tRNA". From Rfam's summary of the family: Transfer RNA (tRNA) molecules are approximately 80 nucleotides in length. The record is from RNAcentral. Lineage: Eukaryota; Metazoa; Mollusca; Gastropoda; Cocculinidae.